CGUCCUGUGCAACCGCACGACUACUGUUUUGUAAGUGGGUUCGUCCCCGCAGUACUAGGCGAGUCUUCACAGAGGG
RNAcentral lists this small RNA (76 nucleotides) under Streptococcus thermophilus. The record is from RNAcentral. Lineage: Bacteria; Bacillati; Bacillota; Bacilli; Lactobacillales; Streptococcaceae.